CUCAAUAGGUGUUGAUGUGUCCACCCGAUGUUGAUAAUAGAGAUCAAUAUACUCCACACCCAGACGCUUCAGGCUCCCCUCACAACAGGCACGGACGUAUUCAGGAGUACCAUUAACUACCACUCCAUUUGGCUCAAUUCUUACAACACCAAAUUUUGUCGCUAGUUGGAUCUUUUCUCGAGG
Long non-coding RNA from Telopea speciosissima, 183 nucleotides. RefSeq lists it as uncharacterized. NCBI's taxonomy places the organism in Eukaryota, Viridiplantae, Streptophyta, Magnoliopsida, Proteales, Proteaceae. The transcript is spliced from 3 exons. The record is from RefSeq and is a predicted model, not a curated record.